Erinaceus europaeus (western European hedgehog) is the source of this 622-nucleotide long non-coding RNA. RefSeq lists it as uncharacterized. Lineage: Eukaryota; Metazoa; Chordata; Mammalia; Eulipotyphla; Erinaceidae. The transcript has 2 exons. The record is from RefSeq and is a predicted model, not a curated record.
AAGGGAAUAAAUAUUUAAAUAUUAAAAAUAAUAAUUAUUAAAAAACUCGGGGGGGAGGCAGGGGUAGAUAGUAGAUAGUGUAAUAGCUAUGCAAUAAGAUUCUCAUGCCUAUCAGAAAAGAAAACACAAGUAGAACCUGAAAUGGAAUUGGCGUAUCGCACCAAAGUAAAAGACUCUGGGGUGGGUGGGUGGGUGGGGAGAAUACAGGUCCAUGAAGGAUGAUAAAUGACAUAGUGGGGGUUGUAUUGUUAAAUGGGAAACUGGGGAAUGUUAUGCAUGUACAAACUAUUGUAUUUACUGUUGAAUGUAAAACAUUAAUUCUCCAAUAAAGAAAUAAAUUAAAAAAAAAAAAGAAAUAUGGCAAUCUGGUAGUGGGAAUUGUAUGAAUUGUACCCUUUUCAUCCCACAAUCUUGUUCAUUAUUGAAUCACUAAUAAAAAAAGAAGUUGAAAAAUAAGAAAACACAAAGCAGAACUUGUGCUGGAUUUGGUCCUGGAACAUGAGGACCUAGAGGGGGUUGAAUUGUUAUGUGAAAAACAGAGAAAUGUUAUACAUGUACAAACUACUGUAUUUUACUGUUGACUGUAAACCAUUAAAUCUUCCCCCAAUAAAAAAAGAUGUUU